This 23-nucleotide transfer RNA is filed under the name Agama picticauda. RNAcentral describes it as "partial tRNA-Leu". The record is from RNAcentral. Lineage: Eukaryota; Metazoa; Chordata; Lepidosauria; Squamata; Agamidae.
ACUUUCAAUGGACAAAAGUCGUC